GUCUCCCUCGCUCUCUGCCCCUCCCCCACUUGUGCUCUGUCUCUCUCUCUCUCUCUCUUUCAAAAAUAAACAUUAAAAAUAAAUAAAUAAAAUACAUAAAAAAAUUCCAGCCUCAUGAAACAUAGGGGGGGUUCACACCACAUCAAGGUCUUACAAAUGCAAUGAAUGUGAGAAAGCCAGAAGCCCAAGGCCUUUACUCUCUGCAUACCACAAAUUUCACAUGGGUGAAAACACCUUUAAUGUGCAAGCAAGUACAAUUUUUUGUUCCAUAUAUCAAAACUUGGGGCGAUCCCUAAUGACGGUGCCGCCUGAAUUGAACCUCAUCCAAACACAAAAAUCCCAGGUAUGUUGGAGCUGCAUUGCACUUUUUAACCUGCCCAUGGCCUUUCCAGAUUUAUGCCACUGGUGGUUUCUGUGGAAAAAGCCAUUUCACCUCUACUACCUGGCAGGUGCCUAUAGUAUGCAUCUUUCACCCAAUCCAGUGUGUUCAGGGAAGGGAACCUUGGUGUUUCCAUUCCCAGCAGAGAUUACUGAGAAGUCUCAGCACUCACUCUUUUUUUCUCUCUUUGAUAAGCUGUGCCUUGUACCUGACCCAUUUUUGGCCCAGUGGACUCUGUUCUUAACUUGACAACAUAGACUGACUGCCUUUUCUGGGGAUAUUAUUGGUUUCAUGUGACUUCUGUGAUGGAGGUUCCCAGCCAUCAAGUCACUGAUACAGGAGUAACUUGCCUCCCAAUGCUCUGGUUUGUAUGAUAAUAGAGCCUUUAUUGGUUAAGCUACCUUUAAUCUUGGAGUUCUGUUCACUCUAUGGGAUGAUUUGAAAAACAGCUGGGUUUUACAAACACAAAGAAUAACCUGUUGUUGGGAUCCCAAGCUUCGUGUGCCUCAGAGGUGACAGUAUGAUGGCAGAGAGUUGUUCUCCAGGUUUGCCCUUGUUUGCACUGCUGCCCAAGGCCUCCGAUGAAAACCUUCAAGAUCUCUGGGCCUAGUUUGUAGACUGAAUGCCAUAAUAUUUUCUGGGUUCAGAGGUACCUGAGGAGGGGGCAGUUCUCACGACUCCUGUGGUGCUUCUGAGAGCACCAUGAAAUUAUUCAUGGGGAAUGUUGCCUUGGGCUCAGCAUUGGUGAGGAAAACCUCCCAGGUCCUGCAGUGGACUCAUGGGCCAAAUUUUGAUGUUCAAAAUUCUGUAGGGUAGCAUCAUUGUAAGACUAGAAGGGUAACUGUAAUUGUCACAGAAACACUAGAUUAAGGACGCCUAGCUGGCUCAGUCACAAGAGUGUGUGACUCUUGGUCUCCAGGUUGUGAGUUUCAGCCCCACGAUGGGUGUGGAGAUUACUAAAACAAAAGAAAAAACAUAAAAGAAACUUAAAACACACACACACACAUUAAUAGUAAGAGGAGGAUACUAACAAAGUGCUUAGAAUAUGCCUUUAUUUAAAGGGGUUUCCACAAUGUUCCAAUCACUAUAGCUGUGAAGUAUUGGUAGAUACAGAACUUCUCUGAUCUGAACUGUGAAUCUUCUAUAGCAUAAGGCAUGGUGGGAUAAAAUAAAAGUUUUGUGGAUUCUUGUAGCCUCUCUGGGAUGUCCUCCAGGCCAUUUCCGUGCAGAGAAAAAUAUGAGUACAGAGAGAAGGGACAGCUCUUCUUCAAGUUAUGGGAACCUUAGGACCCAACCAGGAUUCCUACUGAAUCUGGUGCUAAGUCUUCAUUAUUCACUUAAUUUUUGGCCACUGAGGCAAGAAGCCCUUCCCAGGGCAUGAGGAGAGAGAUGAUGAAGUCAAUGUAAGGGAUUCUUAAAAUAGGACAUUCAAAUUUCUUUAGAAUUAUAUUUUUAAAAUGUUAAUGAGACAUAAAUGAUAAAAUAUAUUUUCAAAAUGCAAUUUGAUAAAUUUUGACAUUUAUAUAUAAAUAAAUGAAACCAUCAUGUUUGUAAUUCACCUAUCCCUCACCCCCACACUUAUCUUUAAAAUGAUGUCACUGUGCUCUGUAGUCAAAUAUUGAUUUACCUUUCAUUACAAUAUAUUCAUCUGCAUUGUCUGGAACUUUAUGAUUAAAGUCAUUAAGUGUUUGUUCUGUGGAUUUGCCACUAUUAGUUUACGCAUUCAUCUGUAUGAAUACGAGUUGUCUUCAGUUUUUGACUGUUGCAGGUAAAACUACAGAGGUUUGAAUACAAAUUUUCAUAUGGAUAGGUUUCAUUUUUCUUUUGUUAAUACUUUGGAGUACAUGUCUGAGUUACAGGGUUAGUGGAUAUAUAACUUUUUAACGAACUCCAUACUGUGAUCUAAAAUAGUUGUUUCCUUUUGUAUUCCUAACAGGAGUGUUUGGAACUUCUAAUUCUUCCAUAUCCUUGGCAGUAGUGGGUAUGGUUAAUCUUUUUAAAAUCUUUAACCCUUUUAAUAAUUGUGUAGCACUGUCCUACUGUGGUUUUAAACUGUAUUUCUCAGAUAUUUUAUGAUGUUGAGCAUUUUUUCAUUUGUUGAUUUGCCAGCUGUACGUCCCUUUUGGCAAAAUGUCUUUUUUAUAUUUUCGCCAAGUUUUUAAGAUAUAUAUAAAAGAAUGAAACAACAAAUACUUAUUCAGAACUUUAUUCACUCUUUAGUGAUGUGACAUUUUUGCAAUAAAAAAGAAUUGCUUUUAAAUACCAGAAGAAUAUUUCCUAAAUCAUCUUCUGCUAUACACAAUACAGUGGCCACACACAGCAUAUACUUUAGAGUUUAAUAUGCAUUAACAUGUUCUCCAUCACAUAAGUCUAAAUAUCUAACAAUAAAAUAAAUAAAGCCAUCACUUGUAGUGUUUGCAGUUUUCCCAGUGUAAAUAUUCCCACCGUGGCCAAGUGAAAACCGCCAGUGUGAUAUCACUGUAGCUGGAGUUCCAAGGUGCCAGGAGUAUGCUAAUCUAUCUUUUUUUCCACCAUAGCAAUCCAGUGGCCACAAAUAACCUCAAGAGCACAGAAAGUAAAUGCAGUAGAGUGACUAGAAAGUUACCAUCACACAAGUCUGCAGCAACAAACCUCAUCGUCUGUCUCAUCACUAUUUAGUGUACACAUCAUGGGUGAGGGGGAUCAGCGGGACAGCGUCAGAGACUCCAUAAGCCACACCUAGAACAUACCAAAUUUUAAUGAAAAUGCCCCAGCAACAUCAACAAAUAAGAAUUUAAAAAGAAUCAAGCUUGGCAACACUAUACUGACUCCACCAUUGGACUCUGCACGCCCUGGGAGGGACGACUUGCCUCAGUGGUGACAAAUACUGGUGAGCAGUGAAGGUCAUUUCCACCUGAUUCAAUAGGAAUGCAGGCUGGUCACAAAGGCCACAGAGCUAACCUACAAGAUCUCCCUCCUCCUCGUGCUCAUCAUCUACCUGUACAGCAGUGGGCUUGAGGUGAAAAGCCCAGAUAGGCUACGGGAAACAACAAAACCUUUAGAUUAUUUUCUCUGACAAGCUGUCAGACACCCAAGAUCCACAGUUCGGGAGGUCCUGAGAAUUUGUGCACCUGCUCAUCCUUCACAGCCACAGAGACUAAAUACUGUGCACACCCUUUAAAAGAGGUACAUUUCAACCAAUUUGUUGCAGUCUCCUUCCUCCGCUUCAUAGAAAUCCAGUGUUUGUGUAACAUGUAUGAUUGCCCCUAUAAUCUUACAACCAGUGACACUGGCCCGAGGAAUUCAGGACAUCGGGGCCUGUGGUUCCACUGUGGACUUGGGAACAGGCUCCCCUCGCCAGUACUAAGCAAGAUGCAAUACCUCGUGAGCAAGAGAAGAACUUCAUGUGGCUCUGAAAACACUAAAGGUUGGCCUAACAACUGUUCCCUCCAUAGGCUGACCUCUAACCCAGAGUAUGCUGGACAAAUUCAAACAGCAUCCAAUAAUAAGUCAGACUUCCCGUGGCUCCCAUUAGCAAUGGUAGUGUCAAAUCAGUCUAUGAUGGUCCAGCUACAUACCUUGCCUCAGAUUUAGCCACUCAGAACCACGUGUGGGUCUCAGACACUCAAGGUCCUACACUGCUUUUGCCGCACUUGCUGUGCCCUCAGUAAUUACAACUUUCCUCUGUCCAUCCAGUCCUCAUUCCAAGCCAGCCCCCCUGACUACCCACCUCAGGCCUAGUGAUUCUCACAGAUGACCAGAUUUGCCCCUCACCAUACACCAGGCUGAAGGAAAACAUCCCAGGUUCCAUCAAAGUCAAAACAAAAUCUUGGUGAGUCCAUAAAGUGGAGAAUAAGCACCUAUUCCAGCCUGAGUGUUAUUUGCCUCAGUUACCCCUUGCCUCCGCAUCCAUCUCAUGUCCACUCUUCCCUUGGAAGCCUUGACCAUCUGCCAGACUAUCCUGUCUGAUGCCUUCACGGUCACUUGUCUCCCUUAUCUGUGGAUAUGAAACCCAACACCAUCACCCCGGUACGCAAGCAAAAGACCCAGUCCUUGGGCCCCCACCCUUCCCUUCUUCACCUCCUAAUAGCAUUGCCACCAUAACCUGAAGUUGACUUUCUUAAAUGUGACCACAGCACACUCACCUUGGUCUUCACAAUAUCUCGUACAUUUUAGAUGUAUCCAAUCUGAAUUCCUCCCCAGAUUUCUCAACCUGUGUGUCCAGCUGCCCAUUUUAGGGCUCCAUUUCAUGGUCUCUGAUAUAGCUUAGACUCUUAACAAGGUCAACACAGACCUCCUUAUACCCCUGGUAAAUAUUACACCAGUUACCAAGUAGCUCGUCUCAAAUGAUACAACUUUCAUCCCAACUGCUGUUAAGACCCUUGUGUACCCUGGGGUCAUCAUCGAUUACUCUGUUUCAUUCCCUUGCCCUCCACAUUAGAAAAUCUACUUACCCUUUAUUUUUUUUUUAAUUUUUUUUCAAUGUUUAUUUAUUUUUGGGACAGAGAGAGACAGAGCAUGAACGGGGGAGGGGCAGAGAGAGAGGGAGACAC
Molecule: long non-coding RNA, 4911 nt
Organism: Felis catus (domestic cat)
Lineage: Eukaryota; Metazoa; Chordata; Mammalia; Carnivora; Felidae
Exons: 3
Source: RefSeq, a predicted model, not a curated record